This 393-nucleotide long non-coding RNA is filed under the name Gallus gallus (chicken). Lineage: Eukaryota; Metazoa; Chordata; Aves; Galliformes; Phasianidae. The record is from RNAcentral.
AAGAUGAUGACCGGGUUUUGGCCACAGUUUGGAAACUGAGUGGGCAUCAGUUUGCCUGUGGGAAGUGGAUUUUGGCAUGCAGCCCGUGCCACCCUACUAUCCAGAUGAAGGCAAACUGGAGUGUAUAUUCUGGCUGCAGAAAGUGCCAACGCUACCGAGGGACAACGUGGGUGUGCAAAAACAGCUCAGAUCCGUCCAUGGAAAGAGCUCUCUGGAGCAGUGAUCAGCAAAAAGCAGAGAGGCUGCCAAGCUAAGGAAGAGUCAUUGCCUUCAGUGCUCUGCUGCCCUUAAGUCAGAAGCUGACGUUCUGCUGCUCGCCACUGUGUGCUGUUUGGGCACAUCAUGUUCAGGUUUGAUUGCACACAAUUUCUUAAACUGAUGAGAAGAUGUCCG